RNAcentral lists this long non-coding RNA (811 nucleotides) under Fragaria vesca (wild strawberry). RNAcentral describes it as "long non-coding RNA (FVES_LNC005081)". Lineage: Eukaryota; Viridiplantae; Streptophyta; Magnoliopsida; Rosales; Rosaceae. The record is from RNAcentral.
UAUAUAUAUAGGAAUUCUCCGCACCUGAGUUUUGGUCCGGAUUUCCAUUUUUGCACCAUUUCCCGAUAGAAUUUCCUCAAACUUCCUUCUAGACAUAUCUAGAUCAUCUUGUGUAGAUCAUCUCUGCAAAAUUUCAACCAAAUUGGUGAUUGUUAAGGCCCUCAAAAUCGAAAAACAAAUCUGACGGACUGAAUUCUGUCCGGUUCAGGUAUAUAACAUAAAACGCAAGUUUGAGGGCCUUAACGAUCACCAAAUUGGCUGAAAAUUUGUAGAGAUGAUCUACACAAGAUGAUCUAGAUAUGUCUAGAAAGAAGUUUGAGGAAAUUAGAUCGGGAAGUGAUGCAAAAAUGGAAAUCCGCACCAAAAACUUUGGUGCGAACGUCCGCAGCUAAGAAGGCCUGUAUAUAUAUAUUUAUAUAUUUAUAUGAAAGACUACAUUUGAAGCCAUAAAUAAAUAAAAUAAAAAACAAACAAUCUCACCACACUGUAUAACCACAUUGUUGAAGAUUGAAGUGAUUCUCAAAUGUCCCAAAUCUGAUUUGAAAGAUGUAGAGAAUUGUUUUUUUUUUUCGAUGUAAAGAUGUAGAGAAUUGUUGUUGUUUGGAUUUUAUAGAUUUUAAUUUAAUAUUAUAUUUUCACAAAAAUUCUUGAUAAUGGGGUUAGUAUUAGAAUAUUUAGUUAAAAUUAAAAUAUAGGGUAAAAAAAUAUUUGAUGGGGUGACAAUAGCCGCACCCUAUAAUAAUUGCUCUCAUUUUUUUUUUUUUGGUUUACAUAAUUGCUCUCAUUUUUUAUCCAUAGUAAUGCCAUUUUG